This 443-nucleotide ribosomal RNA is filed under the name uncultured bacterium. RNAcentral's name for it is "partial 16S ribosomal RNA". It matches the Rfam family "Bacterial small subunit ribosomal RNA", at positions 338 to 795 of the family's 1533-position model. The record is from RNAcentral.
CCUACGGGAGGCAGCAGUGGGGAAUAUUGGGCAAUGGGCGCAAGCCUGACCCAGCAACGCCGCGUGAAGGAAGAAGGCUCUCGGGUUGUAAACUUCUUUUAUCCGGGACGAAACAAAUGACGGUACCGAACGAAUAAGCCACGGCUAACUACGUGCCAGCAGCCGCGGUAAUACGUAGGUGGCAAGCGUUAUCCGGAUUUACUGGGUGUAAAGGGCGUGUAGGCGGGGGUGCAAGUCAGACGUGAAAUUCCAGGGCUGAACCCUGGAACUGCGUUUGAAACUGUUCUUCUGGAGUGAAGGAGAGGCAGGCGGAAUUCCGUGUGUAGCGGUGAAAUGCGUAGAUAUAAGGAGGAACACCAGUGGCGAAGGCGGCCUGCUGGACAUUAACUGACGCUGAGGCGCGAAAGCGUGGGGAGCAAACAGGAUUAGAUACCCCUGUAGUC